This is a long non-coding RNA of Onychostruthus taczanowskii (white-rumped snowfinch), 885 nucleotides long. RefSeq lists it as uncharacterized. The transcript is spliced from 4 exons. The record is from RefSeq and is a predicted model, not a curated record. Lineage: Eukaryota; Metazoa; Chordata; Aves; Passeriformes; Passeridae.
AUUAUGAGGCCUUGAGUAGUGACUUGGCAUGGAAAAUUCAAGCAGAGAGGAAGAGAUGGGAACCCCUACUCAGGGUCAUGUUGCACCAAUAGAUAGCUCUAUGUCCUUUCAGACAGGAGAAGGAGCUGUAACAUUUAUAGCCUGCUUGGUCAUGUUGAAGUUGGCUGAAGUUUCUCCUGAUAUUUCUUCUGUACUUAGGUUUUCUGUUGUUGGAGAAGACACACACUCAUUUUAUUGCAGAGAGGAAGGUUUCCUUCUGGAGUUCCAUGAACUGGGUUUAUCCUGAGACAAGAGCAACUCUUGGAGUCAGCUAUUGGCCCAGAUGUCUUCCCCGUUUCAGAAGCCAGCAUUAAGCAGUGGUGACUUGGUCCCUGUUGUCCGUAUAGGAGUGUUGGUUUGUUCUGCAUACAAGCAUAGACAGCAAAUGCAAAGAUUUCCUGAAACUCCCAGUGGUAACUGCCCGAGUAGGAUACCUCUCUUUCUGAAGAAUCUGGAGAGGUUCUUAACCAUUGGAACAUUGAUUUUGAGUUUUGCCCAGUUAAAGAGGAACUUGAGUGAUAUCUUUUGGGAAAAAAUCAAGCAGUGUCAAGAAGGCUCACCUUGAAUAGAUACUCAAAGCACCAGUUUGGAGAAGGUGAGUACCUAAUUUUCAGGAUUGAAGAGACUGAUUAAGACAGAUGAUAUAAUGGAGGGAUCUCCUUGUUAUCAUCUUCGUAAGUAACACCAUCCCACACCUUUCCUAAUUGCUUCACUCCUGGCUAGUGCAGAUGACUUCAAGUUAUCUGGGCUCAGAUUCUUUGUUUUGCUGAAGUUAGAUGGAAGCUGUACAUCUGACCACACCUUUUGAAUUUGAAGCUUAGUAAUCAACUAAAAAAUCUCCUCUGU